This 309-nucleotide signal recognition particle RNA is filed under the name Oryza meridionalis. Its description in RNAcentral is "Plant signal recognition particle RNA". It matches the Rfam family "Plant signal recognition particle RNA". Lineage: Eukaryota; Viridiplantae; Streptophyta; Magnoliopsida; Poales; Poaceae. The record is from Rfam by way of RNAcentral.
GCCGAGCCAAGUAGCGAUGGCUUGUCACCCGAGCGGGGGCAAUAAGGUGGUGCGGAUGCCUGGUCGUUUGCGCUUGGGCCUGGGCCUGUGGUUUGCAUUAUGUGGCUCGCCCGUUCCAAGUUGAGUAGCGUGUAUGGGUCGCCUUAGCGAAAGCUAGAGCGUCCCUGCACCUAGAGUGGCGGGUAUUGCGUGAGGCUGGUUUCACAGAGCAGCGAGUACCGCCCGCUUCCAACGGUGGAAGGAUAACGGGCCGCUGCAGCCCUGGCCCGCUUCCGGCCGAAGUGCCUUCCAUGGCAGACCACCAUCUUU